GGUAGAGUGAGCUGUAAUCCAAUAUUACUAGUUUCUUUAUAAGAAGAGGAAACUAGUAAUGUUGGAUUAGGGCUCACUCUACU
Molecule: microRNA precursor, 83 nt
Organism: Pan paniscus (pygmy chimpanzee)
Lineage: Eukaryota; Metazoa; Chordata; Mammalia; Primates; Hominidae
Source: Ensembl